UUAAAUUGAAGAGUUUGAUCAUGGCUCAGAUUGAACGCUGGCGGCAGGCCUAACACAUGCAAGUCGAACGGUAACAGAAAGCAGCUUGCUGCUUUGCUGACGAGUGGCGGACGGGUGAGUAAUGUCUGGGAAACUGCCUGAUGGAGGGGGAUAACUACUGGAAACGGUAGCUAAUACCGCAUAACGUCGCAAGACCAAAGAGGGGGACCUUCGGGCCUCUUGCCAUCGGAUGUGCCCAGAUGGGAUUAGCUAGUAGGUGGGGUAACGGCUCACCUAGGCGACGAUCCCUAGCUGGU
This 296-nucleotide ribosomal RNA is filed under the name Escherichia coli. Its description in RNAcentral is "partial 16S ribosomal RNA". It matches the Rfam family "Bacterial small subunit ribosomal RNA", at positions 1 to 291 of the family's 1533-position model. The record is from RNAcentral. Lineage: Bacteria; Pseudomonadati; Pseudomonadota; Gammaproteobacteria; Enterobacterales; Enterobacteriaceae.